Molecule: long non-coding RNA, 419 nt
Organism: Neopsephotus bourkii (Bourke's parrot)
Lineage: Eukaryota; Metazoa; Chordata; Aves; Psittaciformes; Psittacidae
Exons: 3
Source: RefSeq, a predicted model, not a curated record
AGGUGGGCCUAGAUAUGAAGGCUUUUUCCAACAUUUUGUGAUUCCUCACGGUAAUUAUAUUCAACUCAGUUCUACAAGGGCAAAUUGGUAUUGAAGAGCCCAGGCAGAAGACAAAUACUUGGUGUGAGAACCAUAUGGAUAGGAAGGAGUAACCUAGACCCAAGAUGCAAGUUCACGGAUUGCAAGACAGGAGGCCAAACACUGAAACAGCAUCUGACAAAAGUCUUCUUGAUACACAAUGAAUCCUGAUCUGGGAUGGAAAGUAAUUUUUGUGAACAUAUUUACAGAACUAUGUGUAAUAGAUCUAGCGAAGACUGAAGGCUUGUAAUAGCGACUGAUGUAGUACCAUGGAGAAAAGAAACCUGAACACUGCUCUCUGAGGAGGCCAAGUGAGGAGUGAGGUAAUAACAGGUUUCAUU